Molecule: long non-coding RNA, 12205 nt
Organism: Athene cunicularia (burrowing owl)
Lineage: Eukaryota; Metazoa; Chordata; Aves; Strigiformes; Strigidae
Exons: 2
Source: RefSeq, a predicted model, not a curated record
AAAAAAAAGCAGAAAACCCAAACCAGUUCUUAAUCCCAUGGGUUUAGAUUAUUAAGAACCCAGAAACGUGGUAAACCUCUCUUUGGCAAGAAAGCCUGACCUUCUGUGGAAAACUGGGAAAAUUCCUACAGACUAAAAUCAGGCUUCUAACAUAAAAGCAUUACAGUCGUGCUCUGUCUCUUUAUGAAACAAUCACUGUAACUGCACAUAUUUUAAAAGAGCAGCAAGUAGUGCAGAAACUCACAUUAUUAACCUGUAUGCAGUUUAUCCUGUAGGUUUUAGAUUCAUUAAGUUUGCCGAUGAGACUGCUUUGGUUUGGUUUUGUUUUUCCCCCUCUCUUUUUUUUUGUACUCCCACCAUCAGUUAUCUGCAGCAGCAGAACAGGUUUCUGAUACUAAUGUCAGCCUGCAGUACCCUUCGUUAGCCCAGCCAGGGGGAUUCUGCUAAAUUACCAUCUCUCUUAUGGCCCAUUUUACUCUGCUUAAAUCUCUCAUCAGAAAUUUCAGUUGGAAACUAGCUGCUGUCUCAGUAUCAGAAUAUGCACAUUGAAUACGUUAAAUCUCAGCGUACCAGGCUUCCCAGGUUUUUGGAAACCUACUUAUGCAAAUAUCAUAAUGCAACAUAGAGACAGUAACAAUGAAUGCUGGUUUAAGAGGCAAAUGUACCCUGGAUUCCAUGCUUGUAUCUCUCUACUUCAUUUGAUACAGAAAGUCUGAUUAGAUCUCUCAAGAUUACAGUUUAAAAGGGCUUGGGAAAAACAGACUAUGAGUAACUUGGAUUUUUAAAAUGUAUAUUCAAAUAUAGAAUCAGCUUUACCGGUACAGAGCAUCACAAAGCUGGAUUUCAGUUGUAUGGCUCUGUGUUUAUCAAAAGGAAAAGGAGGUAUUUUCCCAUAAUCAUAUGUUGGCUUUGUCUCACCAGUGUCCAGGGCUGCCGCGUGCUGUGACGCAGGACGGAGCAGCUGCGCUCUGGGGAUUGCGCUCCGAGGGAAGGGAGCAGAUUCAGAGUGUUCAAACCACGAGUCCUCCUACCUCUCCUUUCUGCUGGAGUCAGCAGCUCUGCAGAAGUCCUGCUCCCUGUUUUAUCUUCUGAAAAAUUAGACUAAUUGCUAACGACUCCUGUGAGGACAGAUGUGUACAGAAAAGAUGGCACCUCAAGACUGAGAGACACGUCGAGAUUUCCUACUGUGUGGGAAGAGCUGUGCAACAACCCUGAAAGGCACAGAGCUAAACCUGAUGUUUAUCAUACAUGCUGUCCAGGAGUCUUCAUCACUGGAAAUGAUCUUCCAUGUGUUAUCAGGUGGAAAAGUUCUGAACCCUAUUUUAAUACUGUGUUUGAAGAAUAAAAUUUUCUUCUAACUUAAAUGUUUACACCUGAUCUGCAGUCUUCACUUAUCAACACAGUUCAGUACCAGGGUUAAAGCACCAGGCUGGUGACCAGGCUCAGCUCUUCAGCCUCUGCCACCAAUUGCUGCAAGUGGACAAGUCUCUCAGUUUCUGUCAGUGUUCUCUCUCUCUCAUUACCUCUGUUUCCUGUAGGCAGGAGGUAUCUUAAGAGAGUAACAUCUGUAUCCCAAAUAAAUAUUUGCAGAAGUUAUCUGUGUGAUUUCAUAUAUAAAUAAAGUAACGAGGUCUAUUAUGACAUCGAUGGAUCAGAAGCCUCUUGUACAUGACAGCCAGGUGGUUGUUUCCAGUAAGAAGACCUGUACAGUACAUUAUAUUUCUCUGAAUCUCACAGUAAUAUCCUCUUGCUGCUCUCUCAAGCCCUGUUAAUGAGCUGCUCAGAGGUUGGGAGAUGGCAUCUGCUUAGUAACAGAGUCAGUACUGAUCUCAGUUAUUGCAGAUUUCUGCAUUUUGCUAGCAAACAGUCUAAUAAUUGCUCAUCAUAAGAAAUCUGAACCGCUUAGAUCCCAGUUAGAUUUUGAGGGUUUGAUCCUGCCAGGUGCUGAACGGUGGUUGAGAGCUGAGCCAUCCUCAGCCCAUCAGAGCGGGUCAAGGCACUCGGCAUGCUGCAGGUCCAGUCUGGCUUGGGUGGGGAACCUGUGCAAGAUACAGGAAAGCACCUUGAUUACUCUGGGUUACUAGUAGGCGAGACUAGUUUACUUAUGAGUUGUACUGAGGUCCUUUGGAAGUCAGUCAAAGGCUUUAUUAUUCUAAGAUUAGUAGCUCAUGUGUAAUCUCUGCUAAAACAAUUCACUCUCACUAGGCUGUUGAAAUUUCUCAGGUGCUAUACUGCCAGAUUGACUGGUUUUUAAAAUCUAAGAAAUCUGUGGAACAUUGCAUUUCUGGUAUAAGAGCCAGAAAAGGGUCCAUCAUGGUCCAUGCCACUGUUUUUUUCUGCAAAGGUAACACUGGCUUUAUUAUUGGAUUUGCUGUCAUCUGAUGGUGCUUGUAAAUUUUAAGAAGAAGUAAAAUAUGCAUGAGUUCACGGGAGAGGAUUUUGUAGCUCUAACAUACAUUGUAGUUACAGACAGAAAAUGUUUCUGGUUCAUUUAGGGAAUAUGCAUUUCAGCACUCAGAGACACCCUUGUGAUAAGGCUUCAGCACAGACAGCAGUAAGGAGAGUCUGAAAAUCAACUGAGAAAAAAAAAUAAUUUUAAGCUUUCCAGUUUUAUAAUAGAUAACGGGAGAUGUGACUCCUUUUCAAUAUUUAUAACAGUUCUCUUCAAAAUUAAAAAAAAAAAAAUCAGUCUGAUUUAUCUUUUUUCAAGAUUGUAGGUGCUUCAGGGGAGUAAUUUCUAUUCCUUAGCAGAGGAUGUUGCAUACAGAGAACCCUGACAGCCUGUUCCUGGCCAUCCUUGCUCACGGGCGAGGGUGUAACAAAGGAUGGCAGGAGCUAUUCUGAGCUGGUGCCUUCCCAAAGUCUUUCUGCUUUAAUUCUGGCAUGGUUUUUCCUUCUGCUCCAAUAGCUGCAUUCCCUGUUGGAAAAAAAAGACGUCAGCCAGGUUUCCUGCUGCAGAAUUUUACUCUGCUAAAGCCCUGCAUGAAAGCAGUUCAUGUUUCCCUGUCCCUUGGUUUUUAGGUGCUAUUUUACAGCUGCUCGUGUGGUGCCAUAAAGACCAGAAGAACAGCCUGGCACCAAGCGAAACCAUCGCAAUAUUGCCAUUGGGGUUUUCAAGAGAGGUAAAAUUUCACUCUAGCUCUGGGAUCUUACCAAAGUAGGUUGGGUGUAGUGACUUCUUGUGCCUCAGUGUUUGGACAAUGAGGAUAAUGUUUGCUUGCCUUGAGAACUACAGAGGAGCUACAGCGGUCCCAUGCGAUCGGUCUUGUUAAGAAGGGAGGCGAGGCUUCCCUGGAACUGUGGUACCAUUUCAAGUGGUGACUCCGGGGAGAAGUCUGCUAACAGCCUUUUCAUCUUCUCUGCGCCCUGGCUCAUGAAUAAACAUAGGGGAAGAGGGAGAUAGAUGAAAAGCAGCUGGGACCCAUGUUGCUGUAGAGCUGUGGAUCUUCCCGGGCAUUAGCUAUAAUUGGCUCUUUUUGGGCUAUCCCGGUAUUUUAGCAGGUGUUUCAGUGUCUCCCCAAAGGGAGGUAGAGCAGCCCAUUGCAGCAGUGCUUUAAAGCAGCUCCAACUGAUUUUAGGUCAUACUAACAGCAAGUCAGAGGGAACAGGCAGCCUCGGAGGGAGAGCUCUGCUCCCUCUCCUGCCUCGACCCCAGACAUCAGCGCCCUUGUGAUCUGGCUGCAAGAGAGCCUUGAAUCGAUUUGAAUCUCACAGUUCACUAUAAUUUUAACAUGUACCCCCCCUCCUAGAUCUGUGUGAACCAGCACAGGGCUAUCAUAGCUGAGGUUCUUAUCCAGAAUCUGCAUGUAGAUGUGAAAUAGUCUUAAAAAUCUUGACAGGUUAACUUCCAUGAAAAUCUCUUGUUAGGCAGUAGUCACUACUAGCAAUUAUCAUGCUUUUAUCUGUAGCUGUCAAUGCACUGUAAAAAGUGGCUGUUAUUCCCGUUUUAUAGAAGAAACAGAUGUUCUAGGGAUGUCUGAAUAGAUUUAAUACAGAAAUUGCAUGCCUAAAAGGUGUGCUAGAAAAUCCCAUCAUUAUCACAUGACUGAUUUUAUUCAGUGCACCCAGGAAUUCAGCAGAUCUGCUCGUUGUGCUUUGCUUCUCAUUUGUUUUAAAGCAGUAAUUUUUAAGUUUUCAUUUUACCACCGUUUUGGGGCAGAGGAGAAGCUGAAAUGAGGCUAUAAUUAUUGUCUUUGGGAGGCAAACUUUGAGGUAGGGAUUUAUUUGAAACUUCUUGAGAUUUGUUUUUUUGAUCAAGAGACACAGAAGUCACAUUUGUGAAAUCCAAUUAGGCUCCAGCCCUGGCAGGGACACAUGACAUAAGGCAUAUAUGGCCAUCUGACUCCCUGUCCUUCCCUGCUCUUAAAGCCUUCAGCCCCCAUGGCACAGCUGUGCUUCUUACCUCAGGUAUUUGGGAUUACUGCAAACUCAUUUUACCUGCUUGGGAGUCGUCAGCGCUGCAGUCUUUCCCUUGGGAACAUGGUAGAUGACAGGGAAAAGGCAGCUGAGAACUGUGUCACUCUAGGGGAGUGAUCAGAACUGGGUAGGGCAAGAGGAGAGCCAUAGAUGGAUGUUGUGAUGGCAUCAGGACCAUGAACAACUGCUGAAGGCAGUUAGUACAAUAAGAGAUAGGAGGCUGUGCUGUCGCCUUGGUUUUAACAAGGAAUUGGACACUUCUGUGCAUGUCUUAUUUAGCUUUCCUGCCUGGAGCUAGAAUUUGUCAGUACCUUUACAGAGCUAACUUUUUUUUGGAUUGAGGACUUUCCACUACAAUAAGCCAGAAUUUGUUAGAACAAGGAAGAGCUUACCUGGUAAUGAUCCUUUCUCAGGAACCAGCUCUCAUGCACUGCGGACUCAAGGAUGUGAUGAUGCACUGUGACCACUGUCUUCACUCCCAGGUGCAGAGUCCCUUGGCUUGCCUUUCCUUUCUGGUUAUAGCAAAAAAAGAAACUAGAUACUUCUCCUUACUUGGAGAGCAGCAAUUUCCUUCGGCCACAUCAGAAACCAGAUUGCUAAUUGCCCUGCUGUGCUGCUCACCUCUCCGGGCAAUAGCUGUCCUUUGCCUGGAGGAGUCCUCUUGUAGCACCCACUUGCGCCAUAGCAAAACUUCAUUCCUAAUGGCUAACUAGUUUUCUUAUAAGAGGGAAGCUGUAUUUUUAUGAAUGUGAAGUUACCAAGGCCUUUUCCUUCACUUUUCUGAAACUCUAAGUCGAUUAAUUUGUGUAUACAUGACAGUCAGGACAAGCAAUGAUAACAAACCGGACUGAAAAGAGACGUCAGAGUUUUGUACCAAACAACCUUUGAGCACAGCAGUAAAACUGACUUUUCUAUUAUCUUCAGCCAGCCGCAGGACUUUCCUGUUAGUGUACAUUUACUAUUGAUUUGAUUUUUGUUUUUUAUAUAAUUCCCUGCAGGACUCUAAAUGGUUAUUGGAACACCAGAGCCUAUAUCACUGUGCUACUUCAGAAAAAAUCAGAAUGGGUUAACCACAUACAUAGAAAGUUUAGGCCCAGGUGACUAGAAUACAUUCCCAAAGAUGAGCAGAUGGACAAAUUAAUAAGAUGAAAUUAAUUACAUUUACACAUUUUCCUUUAAUAACAAUGAUUCCUUUUGGUUGCAUCUUUCAAAGCCAAAGAACAAGUCAGUCAUACAUUAACACUGUUGGUGUCCUAUUUCCUGUUUCGCUGUAUCUUUACUAUUUACAACACUUUUGUAUUUAAUUUGAAGGAAUAAUAUGACCUGAGAGUGACAGGCAGCUUUCUUAAUGGGCUUCUCUGCUCCUGCUCAUGCCAUGACAUCAAUUAUGUACAGUUGUCUUUGACUUGGAACGUGUAACCCCCAUGGUGACUAAUUACAGUACCUAACGUUAGGGUCUCCAGUGGCACAGACUCGAGAUUAAAAAAUGCAGUUGAGCCUGCUGCUUGGGGAUGGAAAUCUUCAAUGUCCCGAGAGCUCCAGGCCCUUGUUGGUUUUCUCAGGCCAUUGGGGUUGGGAAGGAACAGUGAUGCUUUACCAGGCUCUGGAGUAAAAAUGAAAACAUUAGAAGGAACCCCAAUGCUUUGCCUUACCUAAAUUCCUUUCUCUUUUCCAUAUCAGUGCUAUUAUUGUUAUAUUUUUAUUUUAGACCAUAAACAUAAUUUUGUUUCUUUUUUCCAUUUUAAUGAGUUCUCUUCAUGUACAAGAGCAGGGAUUGUUCUUGAUAAUAAUAAUUGGGCCAUAGGGAAAUACUGAUUGUUUAAUAGCUAAAGAGCAGGGUACUUAGAGAGAUUAAGACAUUUCUGAUCAGUCCGUGGCUUUUGGGGGUCAGAGUGAAAUCAUGACUUAUUGUGGUUUGAACUCCAUCCCAGCUGAAACCAAGAUACUUACUCAAAGCAGCAGCAAAACUACUUAUUUUUCAUGGUUUGCUUUUAGCCAAGAAGCUCAGCAAUCAAACUGAUAUUCCCCAUAAUGACUGUCCUGACAACUGGAUUCUUCCAUGUCGAGUGAUCAUACCAGCAAACUUCUGUGUUUGCUGCCACCAGUGAAUAGUAAGGCAUCAUAUAGCUGCAGUUCAAUAUCUCUAUUCAUCCAUGUCCUUCAUAACUGGAAGGAAGAACACACCUUAUGUAUGUUUUGGAAACGAUGCUGGACUAAAUUGUGUCUUGAGCACCACUGUAACUACUGAACAGGUCAUUGUCCUUUCUGUUAUGUUGAGAGUAGCUGAACCUAGAAGAUACAGAUACUCUAAUGCAAGAAAAUACCCUUAGACAGUAGCCAACCCUAUACAUAUUUAAGCUCAGCUAAUCCUGGAAGUUGUAAAGGGAGAUCCUUAUCAUAUACAUCAGAUCAGACAUGACCUUAUGGCUUCAGGGACAGACUAACCGCCCAAAAUAUAACGGGGAGCAGGAAGGAUAAAGAUUUUUGUUCAUAUACUCUCUUUAAAUGAACGGCUUUAACUAGUCUGGGUUUGACUCAGAUGCUGUACCAUGGGGACAGAGUCAGUAUUGGUUAUUAGAUUUCAAAUUCCCAUCCCAUUUGGAAACAUGAGACUCUUAUUUGUCACAGAUUUUGGCCCAUUCCAUUUUUUUCAACUACAAGAAAUAAUGAUGAAUGACAUAAAACUCACUGCAUCUUUGUGGGAACAGAAUUCAAUACUAUAAUUUUGUAAUAAAAUAUCUUAGAAAAGUGUUAUGAAAAUACUAACCUAUUAAAUCCAUGGCAACAUCAGCCACUGUUCUGGGAAUAAAAAUUUAGAAUGAGCAAUAAAUAAUCAAGCCACCAAAAAACAUGAACAGAAUCUGGAUGGUACAACCUGUGAUACGGCUGGUAUUUUUACUCUUACAUUGAAAGCAAUCCCCAGGUAAAUGCAAAGCUGGUUACAGAGGACAAAGGUUAGGCUUCAGUCAUUAGUAUCUGAUUUUUGGUAUGCCAUCAUUGCAAGCAGUAAGGGGAAAGAUUUACUAAGGUAUUUAGGUACCUAACCAUGCCUAGCAGCAUUUAUAGCAGCAUCUAAGUAGGUUAAGUACCUAAUUCCCAUUAACUCCAUCAACAUCUUUAAGCUGCUAAACACCUCUGUGAAGCUGGCCCCAGAGCCUGACCUGACAGGUUUCUAUUUGAACUGGUGUGGCUGGGCUGGCUGCAGCAGCUGAAGCUCAAGCUGAUGCUCCUUGAAGCAGGGUGGUAGGUAUGUUUGAUACAUGAGGAACAGGAACACAGAAGUGGACAAAGGCUCUUGAGCUGACUUAAAAGUUUUACUACUGACUUAAGGUAGAGCUGUACAAAAGUCACUCAGAGCAGUAUUUGCAAAAAGGCCACUGAAUUUUGGUGCUGGGUUUGGAGUAAGCAUUAUUGUUUCUGACUCAGUGAGUUGCUUGAACAGAGUGUUAAGAAUCCCAUCAGUUUCUAGAAAAGUCAAGAUUUCACAGGCCAAGUCACAACAGCAUUUCCUGAGCUUCAGGAGAGCCUUUCCCACUAGUCAGUCCUGCACAGCCUGGCUUGUUCCACAACAACAAACAUUUUUUUUAAAGGAUUUUCCUUGCCUUAACUCGAUACCAACAGACACCCUCUUGCAUGUCAGAAACAGACUUAAAGAAAUCAACCAAACCAUGUUUCAGGUUCAUAAAGCAGCCUGUCAUGAGAAGCAUUUAAACAGAUGGUGAAUGUUACGUGGGAUAGCUCAACCUGCAUUAAACACUUUACCUGACUGAACCUGUCUCUCAGUACUCCAGCUUGUCAGGUUUAUCUCCCACAGCGAAAUGCACAUGGUGAGACCCGUCUCUCUCUGGCAGCGGGUGCCCGAGGUAAUGCCAACGCCACUUGGUCUGAGGAGCAGAUGAGGCCACCCAACAGAUAGUGUCCACAAAGCAAAUAUAUUCUGCAGUAAACCAGCUAGUGAAAAGCAUGUUACAAAAUUAAAAAUUACCUCUAUUUUUAUAACCUUUUAUUUCUCAUUUUAGCAUAAUUAAUUUCGUAUUCCUUAAUUUGCAGUAGAGGCUAAAGCCUCCAGCUGAUCUCUCGAUGGGACACCAUUAGCUUCUGUUUCUUCAACUACAACCAAGGGGGGCAUAAGUAAAGCAGGUGAGGCUCCACUGAGAUCUGCACAGCCAUUGUAGCACACCUGAUUUGCUUUUUUAGCUUCCUUUAAAUGUUGGGUUUUGGUAAUUCUGAAAAAAUUUGUUAGAGCAGGAGAAGUGAGAUUUGUUCUCUCCCUCUCUCCUUGGCUGACCGUUGGAGUUUUACCCCAUUACGUGCCUAGAACAGCUCUAGAAGGUAAGCAAGUCCUGCUUCAGUAACAUGCAUAGCCCACAUAGAUGAAGUGAUUUGUACUGUUUAAUCACAUAAGUACUUUAUAUCAGUGAAAUCUGAUGUACACAAGAGAUUUCCAUCACCACAAACAUGUUUGAGUACAAAGAGGAACGGUAGUCUGCAUCAGUUCUGGUUUUAAAGGGCAUGGUAUCAAACAGGAGGCUUUCUAAACAGAGGCCGAGUAGGAUCAUCCUUUACAAAUAACACUGUGAGAAUUACAGUGAAAUUCUCUGUUUGGAGCCUGGCACCACUGCAAACACAUGUGAGCCCUUCAGACUCCAACUGAAAGCAGUGUCAGAACAGAUUUUAGUGCUGUAAGGUUGUCUCUGAGGUGGUCCCUGCUUUGUAUUAAAUGUCAGUGUGCAAAUAACAAAUGUUGUUUUUCCCUCAUAACUGAUCAUAAAAAUCUAUAGAGGCUUUAUAUAUUUGCUUACAUAAUAGCUGUAUCUUUUCUAUAGAUUUAACUGUAGAAAACUACAGUGCAGCCACUGCCUGGCUGUGCACCCGCCUGACCACUGUGUGAAUAUUUAAGCAAUGUUUAUGGAAUGGCCAGCUCAUGUAUGUAUGUGUGCUUAUAUUUAUCUGGUGGGGUUGACGAAAGGAUCGUUUAAUUUAUUGAGACACUGAGUAGUGUUACAAGAAGUUAUUUAUCGCCUGUGGAGCUGAGUAUCUAAUAUGCCUGUGUAGGUAUCUGUGUUAAGCUGUUUGCUUUCAUGGGAGAAUGUGCCAUUUUAAAUUUACUGGAAUAUUUGCAGUAUUUGAAGGGUAAUGUGGGGCAAGUAUUCAGGUAAAGAUUAACAUCAGUGUGUACCAGAACAGUAUUUUUCACAAUGUCACCUUUACAAGGAAAAUAAAUAGAGGUAUGGGAAUCAUUUAUGGCCCCAUGGCCAUUCCCUUGUAAAGAUGUAGUUUCAUUAUCUUAAGGGAUAUAACAUGUACUUUCAUUUCUUUUCCACUGACAUUUUUUUAUUCUGGAAUAAAAACGAAAAGUUGUUGUUUACAGUGUUGCACAUUUUGCCAACUGCUUUUUACAAUUUCUUUUGAAGCUAUCCUAGAACCAUUUUCUCAAUAUACACAGUUUCAGCUUAAUCCAAAUAAUUUCACAAACUAUUUCACAGAAAGGAAGAGACAAGAGGAGAUAGAGAGAAAUAACCUAGGAAACAAGUAUGCCAGCGUACAAAAAUAGAUUAGAACAGUUGGAGAUUGUAGGUAUGAAAAUGUAGUCUCAAUAACGGAGAAUCUGAACGAGUGGAUUAUCUGGAGAGGUAACGCUUACGGGAGAAGCAGCUAGAUAGAUACAGAGAUCUAUUUCUAAUGUCUUUAAUUUCUAGGCAAAUUUAUAAGAGGGGGAGAAAUAGUCUCCAAGUUUCUGAAAUGUUCUCAUCUGUGGGUGGAGGCAGUAAAGCAGAGCAGGCAGAUUGCCAACAUUUUGUCUCAAUUUCUCCCCCUCUCGUGCACAGCAGGCUGUGCAUUGCCUCUCAGAGCCAGAGAUCAUUACCACUCCCCAGGAAGGGCAAGCAGUCUGUGCAGAGCUGUCCUCCUCCAGCUGAUCUAACAGAAGGACAGCUUUAAAUUGCUGUUAGGUCUCUAUGAAGUCUCUGCUCAUGCAGCCUGCCUGAUCCAUAGUCUCUGUCCCUAAAUAGCUUUUCCUGUUUGAAACACCCAGCUCGCUGUCACAGAGCCACUAGCAGAAUAAAUCAAGUUUGUGAGGGUCAAGUGGAGAUUCAAACCUCUCUUGAACAGCACUGGGAAACUGGAAUCUAUAUGCAAUCUGGAUAGCAUGGAAGUACGAACUGAAAGGGCUUGUCAUAAAGCAUCCAAACAACUCCUACAGCAAAUAUCGCAAGGAAUUCAGAUCAUUAUAUAUCCUCUAUGGGUCAUGAAUCUGCCGUUUUCAGAAAAGGGAUUGCAGUGUCCAACCCUGAAACUGAAGCACAUGCUCUGUCCCCUCAGAUCCUGUUCUCCAGGAACACAAAGGAAGCUGUGAAGCACGUAGGAGCCAUAGGAGCAAAAUAAGGCUAAAGCAUUUAUGCGCUAUUGCUAUGAGAAGUUUUCUUAGAAAUAUAAGUUACUGUGGGUCUGCUGAGCAAGCUCUUCCUUCUAAUCUACACCACCUGUGUAUAUUCGUGGAUAAUUUGGUUCUGACCUAGUUAAAAGUGCAAAACAUUUUUUCCUAUUUGCUUAUCCAAUAUAUCCUGACAUCUACUUCCAGCCAAGCCUGCAAAAAACUCUUUUGUGAGACACACACACUCUUCCUCCAGGAAGAACACUUGGUGAUGUGCUCUACAGCUCACAGGCCAAAUGCAAUAGAUUGCUGCUCUACUGUUCAAAGAAGACUUGACUUGGGCUUUAAAAGAAGGUAUAUCGAUUCAAAAGGAUCAACAGCUACAGUGUGCCUGACUCGGCACAGCUCUGCAGUGCUAAGGACAGAGAGUGUGGCACAGGCACCAGAACUGCAAAUCAGUCUGGUCUUUAUAUCCAUUCCUCAGAGCACAAGGAUUUUUAAAUCCAGUGCCAAACCUGCUGAAGGCAGACCUCAAAAAAAUUGUGAUUGCACAGCCUCAUUCCUUUGUAUCGGCCAAUAGAGGUGAGCUGGAGUGCAGAAGGGUGCCUGAACAUUUCCAGGGAGGUUCUGCAGUCCUUAAGCAUGCUGCUCAGAAAAAUGCAGAUUGCAGCCUGUGUCUUUUUCACACUGCUACAAUCCGGCUCUUCUUGGACUGAAGGUCAGAGAUAGGGUUUUCCUUUGGCAUAUUCAGCAGUGCUUCUGCGAAGUUUCAGGUCGGUCUUUCACUCAUUCAUCAACACCUACCAUAUAUAUUAUACACAUAGAUGCACAUUUAUAAAGGAACCUCCAAAAAAAGUAGCAUAGAAUCAUAUUUGACAAAGCUGACGUCAUACAUUGUGCUGUAAAUAAUGAGAUUUAAAAUAUCUUGUGCUACUGAGGUACAGUAACCUGUUCAUUAGCUUGCACGAGCACCCCGUCAUUUUCUUUAUCCUCUUUAAAUUAUCACCAAUGUGUACAAAAUUAUUUUCUUCUACUUAAAGACCAGCUUUAAGGAGGUGACUGAUUUCUGCUGAUCCUGGAGGUGGUUUCACAGGUUUCAUUGUACUUGAAACUUCACAGCUUCCACUGAAGUAUUUGAUGCAUGUAUGUAUCAGUUUAGCAGAGUACAACAGCGGAAUAAUUUUAAUUCUUGCCUCAUAUUGUGAACAGAGUAUGGUGUCCUCUACCAAAACUGUUUCUUUUUACUUGACAAGUUAUCAAAGACUUACAUUUUAUAAAGCUCAGCCACCAAUCUUAAUACAGUACUUCUUUUAAAUGUCAUUAGGGCUCCAAUACUUGUAAUAAGUUGCUAGAUUUCUAUUAGCAAAACUUAUUUGCAAAUUUCUUCCAUAAAAAUAAAAUUUUUCAGUAGUUAAA